GGGACACUGGCGGAUUGAACUCGGCGGCUUUCAUUGCCUCUCCCCUCCCCCCAGCUCGUGUCUGACACCGGAAAUAGCUUGUGUCUGAAGAUGCCUAUGCUUAGCGCUUCCCUUUGGUUUCUUCAGAGUUCGUAAUGAAAAACUGCUAGAUUAGCUGAUGGAUGGGUAAUAAUUCAAGUCAAUGUGUGAGCAUGACUUGGUGUUAGAGGACUCCACAAAGAAAACAUAAUCAAGUCAAAAGGAUGAAAUCAAAGUGUGGAUGAAGGUGACCUGUGCCAUGGUGCAUGUGUGAAGGCCAGAGGACAACGUAUGAGAGUUGAUUCUUUCUACCGUGUGGAAGAGAUUGGCCUCAAAUCAGCAGGCUUGGCAGCUUGUGCUUUUAAUAACUGAGUCAUCUUAUGGGCCCUAUCCAGUAUUUUGUUUUUUGAGACAAGGCCUCAUGAUAUAAUCCAGUCUGGCUUUAAAUACAUGAUUUUCCUGCCUUAUCUUCUUAGGUGCUAGAAGACUAUACCUGAAUAACAUGUAUUUUUUAAAUUUUAUUCUUAUUUUUGUUACAUUUAGUAUUUUUGCCAACAUUCUGUUUGUGAAGUAAAUCCAGAUGGUUAUACAUAAUUUUAUUAUAUAUUUUUAUUAGCAUGUAGUAUUCCUUUGUAUAAAUAUGCCUCAUAUGUUUCUCCAUCUUCUUAAAAAUGAACAUUUGGGGUUCUUGUGAAUAAUCUCUUGGUGUGCAUACACAUUCAUUUCUGUUUUGAAUAGACCUAGAAGUACAAUUUCUGACUCACAUAUCCUCAUUAGUACAUAAUCUUGGACAUCCUUUUUACUUGGAAUGUUCUGUUGUAUGAUGAUAUCUCCACACUUCAAAUUUUUCUUUUUAAAUUUGAACUGUAUGAAAUUGAGCACUUUUACAUAUGUAUCCAUAAUUGAUAUAUUCUUUUCUGAAAUCCUUAUUUACAACUCUUGUUCACUUUUAUGUUCUUUUUGUUGUUGUUGUUGUUGUUCUUUCUUUUUUUGAGACAGGUUCUCUCUCUAUACUGCUGAGAUUAAAGGCAUCAGUCACCAUGCCAGGCCCCAAGGGUUAAUUUGUAGUAUAGAAUGAUGUGCCUUUAUUCAUUUACAUGGGAAAUCUAUUUUAUUCUAUUAAUUCAAGGUUCUUUCUUGAUCAUCAAAAUUCUCCAUGUUUAUCUCAGUCAGAGGUAUUUAUUUUCCUCAAAUUUAUUGUACAUUAUUUUAUCUAGGUGAUCUUCCUUUGUGUUAAAUUGUAUUAAAUACAGACAUUUCCAACUACUAUGUAUAAUAUCUUUAAGGAAGGUAUUUCAGUAAAGAUCAGUGUGGGAGGGACUUCAAGUAAUAUUUUGUAGCUACUACUACUGAAUAUGUUUAAUGAAAAGCUUCCUCCUAAAACCCUUGCAUAUAUUAAAAUUCAAACUCAUUAUCAUCAAUAUCCUUGCCAACAUUUGAGCAAUGAUACCGGACACUAGGAAUUAUAACAAGGAUUAUGUGACACUGAAAUCAUUUGUAUGCACUUUGCAGUUGAUGUAUAUUGGGCCCUUUAGAUAGUGGCAGUCAUGACACAGUAGCUCUUUGUGGUUUAAAAUGCCAAGGAAAAUGAAUGAGCUGUUACAUUGACUUAAAUGAAGACAUUUUUAGGACUGAAAUUCUGCAACCGUGUAUAUUUUUAGAUAAAGAACUUUAAAAAUGGUUCCUUGACUUCAGGUGCCAAUAUCUGUCUAUGUGGUCUGCCAGACCCUCAACUGCAACAUGUUCCAGAUGAUACUCACUGCCUUUUUCUGCCCUUCUCAUCCAUGCACCCGAUGGCCUAUUCCUCUUGUUUAAGUCUACUGCCAUCUUCCCAGUCAUCAUGAUUAGCAAUCUCCUUACUUUCGUAUUUCCCAUUGGAGCAAUCACCAAAUCCUCUCCAAUCUACCCCCACAAUACUCAAUCUGUCCUCUCCUCCUCAUUUCCCUCAUUGCUACCCUUUCCUGGUCCCUCAUUAUCUUUUAACUAAACUGUUUCCCCAGCUUACUAACAGAUUUCUUUCUUUUUCUUUAGUAUCCUUUUCCCAACUCAUCCUUCUCACUGUUACCAGUUAGUGACCUAACACAAAGUUAAAUCAUAGUUAUUCUCUUCAGAUGACCUUUUAUUUUUCAUUUUUUGCAAAAUAAACUCCAAUAUCCUGAAGUAGCAGGUUAAAAGCACAGACCUGUGAAUAAAGCAGAUCUGGGUCUGAAUGUCUGCUGGACUACUUCCUCCUUGUUAGACAUAAAGCUAACCUCUCUGAACUUUGUUUCACUCUCCAUGAAAUAUCUACCCCAUAAAUCUCACAUGAGCAUGCUGUAUGUUUAUUACAGCAUAAGAGCUAGUAAGUGUUAAUCUUAUUAAUACAACUAUCAGACUGCCAUAAUCGUAACUUGUCCUAUCUUUACAGCCUUGCCUGCCACUACAUUCCUUUUAGUGCAUUGCAAAGCAUUCUUGUAGGUGCACCUUUCAGGUUCAUUAACCUGGAAUGCCCCUUCCCUUCUCACAUUGGAUUCUAUCCUUCCAGAUUCAGUUCAACUACUUUUUAUGUCAUAUUUUCUGUAAUCUGUGUCCCUGGCUCUCGGUCAGAAUGGUAUUCUUCUCUCUCACCAACUCAAUUUCUUUAUUCUUCUAUUUGGUAUAUCUCUUAUUCUGCUUUUCAUUAUUUGUUUACAUUUCUAUGCCCUUUGCUGAAGUUUGAAUUCUUUAAGGACAAUGAUUCAUUACUGUGACAUUUCAUUUUCGCACCAGUUACAGUGCUUUUUAAAUGUUACGGUACCUUACUAUUCAAAUGUUCUGAGUGAAUGAAUGAAAGAACACAUAAUGUCCAUUAAAGGGAAAUGGCAUGUUUUGUAUUUGCAUACUUUCUUUUAAGUUGUAUGAGGUCCCUUACAAUUAUCAUAAAGUUUAGAAAUCUACAUUUCAACAUCAUUUAGCCAGCCUUCAAGAGGAGCAUGAAACAUAAUUGCUAGAUAUACAAGUCACAAAAAGUCUGGUACAGAAGAGCAACGUGAUUUUAAGAAUUACAAGGCAAGUUCUGUGGCCAUAGUCACAAAUAAGGUAAUGGUAGGAGAGGAAAUGGUAAUAUAAAGAAGGGAAUUGAAAAAAAAGUCUAACCAAUCAAAUGAAUUUCAACAAUUGUACACUAUGAGUACAAAGGAUAAAGAUAAGGAACUCAUUCUGGACAAGGGGUUUAUAAGGAUAACAUUGUAAUCAGCUAUCACAUUUUCCCAAAGGCUGUCUUGACUUUGGUAUUGUAUAGUCUUACAACAUUUCUAGUUUUGUUCAAAUCAUGUUAGAGCUCCUCUGGAUUUCUGGGGGAAGUAGUUCACACCUGCAAUAACACCAGAGAGGUUGAGGCAGAAGGAUUGCUACAACUUCUAGGAUAGCCUUGGCCACAUGGUGAGUUCCAGACUACACUAUAUACAGGAGACUCUUUCUGAAAACAAACAACACAGGAACCUCAUUUGCUUUGA
Long non-coding RNA from Peromyscus californicus insignis, 3491 nucleotides. RefSeq lists it as uncharacterized. NCBI's taxonomy places the organism in Eukaryota, Metazoa, Chordata, Mammalia, Rodentia, Cricetidae. The transcript is spliced from 4 exons. The record is from RefSeq and is a predicted model, not a curated record.